RNAcentral lists this ribosomal RNA (397 nucleotides) under uncultured bacterium. RNAcentral describes it as "partial 16S ribosomal RNA". It matches the Rfam family "Bacterial small subunit ribosomal RNA", at positions 523 to 918 of the family's 1533-position model. The record is from RNAcentral.
AUACGUAGGUGGCAAGCGGUGUCCGGAAUUAUUGGGCGUAAAGCGCGCGCAGGUGGUUCCUUAAGUCUGAUGUGAAAGCCCCCGGCUCAACCGGGGAGGGUCAUUGGAAACUGGGGAACUUGAGUGCAGAAGAGGAUAGUGGAAUUCCAAGUGUAGCGGUGAAAUGCGUAGAGAUUUGGAGGAACACCAGUGGCGAAGGCGACUGUCUGGUCUGUAACUGACACUGAGGCGCGAAAGCGUGGGGAGCAAACAGGAUUAGAUACCCUGGUAGUCCACGCCGUAAACGAUGAGUGCUAAGUGUUGGGGGGUUUCCGCCCCUCAGUGCUGCAGCUAACGCAUUAAGCACUCCGCCUGGGGAGUACGGUCGCAAGACUGAAACUCAAAGGAAUUGACGGGG